Molecule: ribosomal RNA, 188 nt
Filed under: uncultured rumen bacterium
Lineage: Bacteria
Description: partial 16S ribosomal RNA
Rfam family: Bacterial small subunit ribosomal RNA
Source: RNAcentral
UACGGGAGGCAGCAGUGAGGAAUAUUGGUCAAUGGUCGCAAGACUGAACCAGCCAAGUAGCGUGCAGGAUGACGGCCUUACAGGUUGUAAACUGCUUUUAUGCGAGGGUAAAGUGUGCCACGUGUGGCAUAUUGCAAGUAUCGCAUGAAUAAGGACCGGCUAAUUCCGUGCCACGCAGCCGCGGUAAU